RNAcentral lists this transfer RNA (72 nucleotides) under Flavobacterium terrae. It matches the Rfam family "tRNA". Rfam says of the family: Transfer RNA (tRNA) molecules are approximately 80 nucleotides in length. Their secondary structure includes four short double-helical elements and three loops (D, anti-codon, and T loops). The record is from Rfam by way of RNAcentral. Lineage: Bacteria; Pseudomonadati; Bacteroidota; Flavobacteriia; Flavobacteriales; Flavobacteriaceae.
GGUUCUAUAAUUCAAUGGAUAGAAUGGCUGUCUUCUAAACAGCAGAUACAAGUUCGAAUCUUGUUAGAACCU